AAUAAAAAUAUCUUUGAUUGGGGCAAUCACGAAGAAAAAAAAACCUUCGAAAUAAAAAAAAAUAAACAAAUUUAAAAUAUACUAAAUAACUAGAUCCGGAAAUUACCGAACAAAGAAAAAAGUUACCGCAGGGAUAACAGCGUUAUUCUCUUUAAGAGUUCAUAUUGACAAGAGAGUUUGCGACCUCGAUGUUGGACCGAGGCACCCAAGAGAUGCAGCAGUCUCUAAAGGUAGGUCUGUUCGACCUUUAAAGCCUUACGUGAUCUGAGUUCAGACCGACGCAAGUCAGGUCAGUUUCUAUCUA
Molecule: ribosomal RNA, 304 nt
Filed under: Stenometra cristata
Lineage: Eukaryota; Metazoa; Echinodermata; Crinoidea; Comatulida; Thalassometridae
Description: partial 16S ribosomal RNA
Rfam family: Bacterial large subunit ribosomal RNA
Source: RNAcentral